CAGUAGCCGCGGGAAUACGAAGGGUGCAAGCGUUACUCGGAAUUACUGGGCGUAAAGCGUGCGUAGGUGGUGGUUUAAGUCCGUUGUGAAAGCCCUGGGCUCAACCUGGGAAUUGCAGUGGAUACUGGGUCACUAGAGUGUGGUAGAGGAUAGUGGAAUUUCCGGUGUAGCAGUGAAAUGCGUAGAGAUCGGAAGGAACAUCUGUGGCGAAGGCGACUAUCUGGGCCAACACUGACACUGAGGCACGAAAGCGUGGGGAGCAAACAGGAUUAGAUACCCCUGUAGUCCCUGUCUCUUAUCC
This 301-nucleotide ribosomal RNA is filed under the name uncultured bacterium. Its description in RNAcentral is "partial 16S ribosomal RNA". It matches the Rfam family "Bacterial small subunit ribosomal RNA", at positions 509 to 809 of the family's 1533-position model. The record is from RNAcentral.